AAUAAUCAAUAAAUACACUAAUUACAACAAUAUAAUACAACAGAGGGAGUGUAUAAAAUGCUCCAAAUGAGUUUUAGUACAUACUAUAGUGCUGGAACUAUAUUACAAUCAUUGAAAAAUUAUAAAAUAACUAAUGAUAGUUAUUUUAUAAAUUUAUUAAUGGUUACUUCAAAUCACUUCAGAGCAUAACUAUGUAUACAUGCAAACUAUAAAACUAUUUAGUGGAACCGAAUAUUUUACGUACAAUGAAGUAAGCUAUAACAGAAAAUAUGCGACGCUUGAUGCGGCCUCUAAUAGGAGGCAGGACUCGCUGGUUGCGAUGCAUCUUCUUCAUUUUCUCCUCCAUUUGAUUCUAUUUGGAAGAAUCUUUU
This 371-nucleotide long non-coding RNA is filed under the name Lathyrus oleraceus (garden pea). RNAcentral's name for it is "Pisum sativum (pea) long non-coding RNA (PSAT_LNC018129)". The record is from RNAcentral. Lineage: Eukaryota; Viridiplantae; Streptophyta; Magnoliopsida; Fabales; Fabaceae.